GCUGGCGGCGUGCCUAACACAUGCAAGUCGAACGAGAAAGUGGAGCAAUCCAUGAGUAAAGUGGCGACCGGGUGAGUAACACGUGACUAACCUACCUUUUAGUGGGGGAUAACUCCGGGAAACCGGAGCUAAUACCGCAUAACAUCGCAAGAUCAAAGCAGCAAUGCGCUGGAAGAGGGGGUCGCGGCUGAUUAGCUAGUUGGCGGGGUAACGGCCCACCAAGGCGAAGAUCGGUAUCCGGCCUGAGAGGGCGCACGGACACACUGGAACUGAAACACGGUCCAGACUCCUACGGGAGGCAGCAGUGGGGAAUUUUGCGCAAUGGGGGAAACCCUGACGCAGCAACGCCGCGUGGAGGAUGAAGCCCCUUGGGGCGUAAACUCCUUUCGACCAAGACGAUAAUGACGGUACUGGUGGAAGAAGCACCGGCUAACUCUGUGCCAGCAGCCGCGGUAAUACAGAGGGUGCAAGCGUUGUUCGGAAUUAUUGGGCGUAAAGGGCGCGUANGCGGCGCGACAAGUCACUUGUGAAAUCUCCGGGCUUAACUCGGAGCCUGCAGGCGAAACUGUCGUGCUGGAGUAUGGGAGAGGUGCGUGGAAUUCCCGGUGUA
RNAcentral lists this ribosomal RNA (610 nucleotides) under uncultured bacterium. RNAcentral's name for it is "bacterial SSU rRNA". It matches the Rfam family "Bacterial small subunit ribosomal RNA", at positions 35 to 677 of the family's 1533-position model. The record is from RNAcentral.